Molecule: non-coding RNA, 266 nt
Organism: Paramuricea clavata
Lineage: Eukaryota; Metazoa; Cnidaria; Anthozoa; Malacalcyonacea; Plexauridae
Source: the annotation of a GenBank genome assembly
GUGCUGAACUUCCCAGGCAUGGAGUAAAAUCACACAAAAAAGUCGGGGUCACUGUAGUAUCCAGGCCAAUUAAUAUAAGUUAAUAUUAUACUGUACACUAAUGUUUACUAACUUCCGCUUUGUAAUUUUAUAAUGUAUUCAUUCUCAUAAUAUACAAGUUAUACAACACACCAAACCAGGCGGCUAUACUCUUGUGUUUAUCCGAUAUUUACCGCGAUACACUACAUUCUGGCGACGAGAAUAAUAAACCUACACGUAAUCAAAUC